RNAcentral lists this unclassified non-coding RNA (391 nucleotides) under soil metagenome. RNAcentral describes it as "partial contains 5.8S ribosomal RNA, internal transcribed spacer 2, and large subunit ribosomal RNA". The stretch from base 1 to 122 matches the Rfam family "5.8S ribosomal RNA", at positions 35 to 154 of the family's 154-position model. The record is from RNAcentral.
GAUGAAGAACGCAGCGAAAUGAGAUACUUGGUGUGAAUUGCAGAAUCCCGUGAACCAUCGAGUCUUUGAACGCAAGUUGCGCCCGAAGCCAUUAGGCCGAGGGCACGCCUGCCUGGGCGUCACACGUCGUUGCCCCCCCAUCUACUCCUUCGGGAUUGCGGGGGGCGGAUGAUGGCCUCCCGUGCGCCUCGCCGCGCGGUUGGCAUAAAUGCCAAGUCCUCGGCGACGCACGCCACGACAAUCGGUGGUUGCGAAACCUCGGUUGCCCGUCGUGUGCGGUCGUCGCGCAUCGAGGGCUCGAAAAAAUUGCCGGGUUCCGGCUCGGCUUUCAACGCGACCCCAGGUCAGGAGGGGUUACCCGCUGAAUUUAAGCAUAUCAAUAAGCGGAGGA